AUGCACGCUGGCGGCGUGCCUAAUACAUGCCAGUCGAGCGAACGGACGAGAAGCUUGCUUUUCUGAUGUUAGCGGCGGACGGGUGAGUAACACGUGGAUAACCUACCUAUAAGACUGGGAUAACUUCGGGAAACCGGAGCUAAUACCGGAUAAUAUUUUGAACCGCAUGGUUCAAAAGUGAAAGACGGUCUUGCUGUCACUUAUAGAUGGAUCCGCGCUGCAUUAGCUAGUUGGUAAGGUAACGGCUUACCAAGGCAACGAUGCAUAGCCGACCUGAGAGGGUGAUCGGCCACACUGGAACUGAGACACGGUCCAGACUCCUACGGGAGGCAGCAGUAGGGAAUCUUCCGCAAUGGGCGAAAGCCUGACGGAGCAACGCCGCGUGAGUGAUGAAGGUCUUCGGAUCGUAAAACUCUGUUAUUAGGGAAGAACAUAAGUGUAAGUAACUGUGCACAUCUUGACGGUACCUAAUCAGAAAGCCACGGCUAACUACGUG
Molecule: ribosomal RNA, 496 nt
Filed under: uncultured bacterium
Lineage: Bacteria
Description: partial 16S ribosomal RNA
Rfam family: Bacterial small subunit ribosomal RNA
Source: RNAcentral